Molecule: transfer RNA, 80 nt
Filed under: Prototheca zopfii
Lineage: Eukaryota; Viridiplantae; Chlorophyta; Trebouxiophyceae; Chlorellales; Chlorellaceae
Description: tRNA-Leu
Rfam family: tRNA
About the family: Transfer RNA (tRNA) molecules are approximately 80 nucleotides in length.
Source: RNAcentral
GCGGGUAUGGUGGAAUGGUAGACACAACUGUUUUAGGAGCAGUGGCUUUCAGCUUGCGGGUUCAAGUCCUGCUAUCCGUA